This 18-nucleotide unclassified non-coding RNA is filed under the name Chlamydomonas reinhardtii. RNAcentral describes it as "small RNA Cre_2023". Lineage: Eukaryota; Viridiplantae; Chlorophyta; Chlorophyceae; Chlamydomonadales; Chlamydomonadaceae. The record is from RNAcentral.
GUGAGCGCAAUCAGCGGU